AUCAAUAAGCGGAGGAAAAGAAACUAACAAGGAUUCCCCUAGUAACGGCGAGUGAAGAGGGAAAAGCUCAAAGUUGGAACCUGUUUGGCUUAGCUAAACCGGAUUGUAAACUAAAGAGCCGUUUUCCAGACGAGCUAAGCAAAAAAGUCCCUUGGAACAGGGCAUCAUAGAGGGUGAGAAUCCCGUCUUUGGCUUAAGCGAUUUCGUCUUUAUGUGAUACGGCUUCAAAGAGUCAGGUUGUUUGGGAAUGCAGCCUAAAGUGGGUGGUAAAUCUCAUCUAAAGCUAAAUAUUGGCGAGAGACCGAUAGCGAACAAGUACCGUGAGGGAAAGAUGAAAAGAACUUUGAAAAGAGAGUUAAACAGUAUGUGAAAUUGCUGAAAGGGAACCGUUUGAGGUUAGACUAGCUGGUCAGUAAUCAAUCUUGGUUUCGACCAUGAUGCACUUGCUGGCCUUUGGCUAGCCAACGACAGUUUUUUCUGUAGGAAAAAAUGUGCAGGAAUGUGGCUCUUCGGAGUGUUAUAGCCUGCUAUAGAAUACUACGGAAGAGACUGAGGCUCGCAGCGAACGCUAUUAUGGCGAGGAUCAGGUUAACUUUGUGAUAAUGUGUGCUACUACUCAGCUUGCUGCGGUAAUGCAUGUUGUUGUUUGGUAUUGGCUUGUUUACCUUUAGUCGCUGGUCGUUGCUAA
This 688-nucleotide ribosomal RNA is filed under the name Phycomyces blakesleeanus. RNAcentral describes it as "eukaryotic LSU rRNA". It matches the Rfam family "Eukaryotic large subunit ribosomal RNA", at positions 42 to 632 of the family's 3401-position model. Lineage: Eukaryota; Fungi; Mucoromycota; Mucoromycetes; Mucorales; Phycomycetaceae. The record is from RNAcentral.